AGCAAGAGACAGGACAAAGGCUGGGAACAGGCAGAGCACGAAUGGAUCUAUCAACAGAAAAAUAAUGAAGUGAGAAUGAGAGGAGGGAGAGAUCUGUUGUGGCUACACUCAUGCACUGCCUCUUCCCUGGCUCUGUCUCUUUCCUACUC
This is a non-coding RNA of Cajanus cajan (pigeon pea), 149 nucleotides long. The record is from Rfam. NCBI's taxonomy places the organism in Eukaryota, Viridiplantae, Streptophyta, Magnoliopsida, Fabales, Fabaceae.